AUUGAACGCUGGCGGCAUGCCUUACACAUGCAAGUCGAACGGCAGCAUGAUCUAGCUUGCUAGAUUGAUGGCGAGUGGCGAACGGGUGAGUAAUACAUCUGAACGUGCCCUGUAGUGGGGGAUAACUAGUCGAAAGAUUAGCUAAUACCGCAUACGACCUGAGGGUGAAAGUGGGGGACCGCAAGGCCUCAUGCUAUAGGAGCGGCCGAUGUCUGAUUAGCUAGUUGGUGAGGUAAAGGCUCACCAAGGCGACGAUCAGUAGCUGGUCUGAGAGGACGAUCAGCCACACUGGGACUGAGACACGGCCCAGACUCCUACGGGAGGCAGCAGUGGGGAAUUUUGGACAAUGGGCGAAAGCCUGAUCCAGCAAUGCCGCGUGUGUGAAGAAGGCCUUCGGGUUGUAAAGCACUUUUGUCCGGAAAGAAAUGGCUCUGGUUAAUACCUGGGGUCGAUGACGGUACCGGAAGAAUAAGGACCGGCUAACUACGUG
Molecule: ribosomal RNA, 490 nt
Filed under: uncultured bacterium
Lineage: Bacteria
Description: partial 16S ribosomal RNA
Rfam family: Bacterial small subunit ribosomal RNA
Source: RNAcentral